UGGGGAAUAUUGCACAAUGGGGGAAACCCUGAUGCAGCGACGCCGCGUGAGCGAAGAAGGUUUUCGAAUCGUAAAGCUCUGUCCUAUGAGAAGAUAAUGACGGUAUCAUAGGAGGAAGCCCCGGCUAAAUACGUGCCAGCAGCCGCGGUAAUACGUAUGGGGCGAGCGUUGUCCGGAAUUAUUGGGCGUAAAGGGUACGUAGGCGGUCUAUUAAGUCAGGUGUGAAAGCGUGAGGCUUAACCUCAUUAAGCACUUGAAACUGAUAGACUUGAGUGAAGGAGAGGAAAGUGGAAUUCCUAGUGUAGCGGUGAAAUGCGUAGAUAUUAGGAGGAAUACCGGUGGCGAAGGCGACUUUCUGGACUUUUACUGACGCUAAGGUACGAAAGCGUGGAGAGCAAACAGG
RNAcentral lists this ribosomal RNA (403 nucleotides) under Verrucomicrobiota bacterium. RNAcentral describes it as "Verrucomicrobia bacterium partial 16S ribosomal RNA". It matches the Rfam family "Bacterial small subunit ribosomal RNA", at positions 355 to 776 of the family's 1533-position model. The record is from RNAcentral. Lineage: Bacteria; Pseudomonadati; Verrucomicrobiota.